This 253-nucleotide ribosomal RNA is filed under the name uncultured bacterium. Its description in RNAcentral is "partial 16S ribosomal RNA". It matches the Rfam family "Bacterial small subunit ribosomal RNA", at positions 524 to 776 of the family's 1533-position model. The record is from RNAcentral.
UACGUAGGGUGCAAGCGUUGUCCGGAAUUAUUGGGCGUAAAGAGCUCGUAGGCGGUCUGUUGCGUCGGCUGUGAAAACCUGAGGCUCAACCUCGGGCCUGCAGCCGAUACGGGCAGACUAGAGUUCGGCAGGGGAGACUGGAAUUCCUGGUGUAGCGGUGAAAUGCGCAGAUAUCAGGAGGAACACCGGUGGCGAAGGCGGGUCUCUGGGCCGAUACUGACGCUGAGGAGCGAAAGCGUGGGGAGCGAACAGG